GAGAGAGUCCGGGGAAAAUGCCCAGAAAUGCCUGGCAAAGAGAGAGCGAGAGAAAUACAGAGAGAGAGCAGUUACAGGAGCGCAGCAAGGACGUCGCCGUCGCAGGCGAAGUCGACCGCGCAGCGACUGAGACGCUACGCAACUAGUGCUGCUGCCACGCCGCUUUACAACACUGCCUGUCAAAGCCACAAUCCCACUGCAAUCGAUAACCGACUGCAAAAUUAUGUCAGCCCUGCCUCCUUCGCGCCAAAAAGCUCAGUGUCCACUAUUGCAGAAAUAAGUAACUUUUGCCAAGCACUAGCUGCUUUGGCUCAUCUAAAUCCUGUAGCUGCGUUUUUAUGGCAAGCAGUGGGUAAAAAUGACCGCAAAACCAACACCAAAUACAGGUUAAUAAGCACAUCAAAUUAAUAUUCUGCUCGCGCUUUCGAUUCUAAUCGUUUUAAUCAAAAACGAUCAUUUCGAUGGGAAGGCAACAUUUAAUAGUGCCUGCAUUUUAAGUGACAGUAUGAUGUUCUAACUCUCCAAGCGGCCAGUUGAGUUGUUUCCAAAAAGAAGACGAUGACUAAUGGAAUAAUCGAUAAGACGUUUGUGCCGCGUGCAUACUGUGUACAAAGUAUCGGAAUGUCACGCGCAGGCGAAGGACAUCGUCACGUACAGACACACGCACACACAGUGCCACAUUGCACAAGUGUUGCCACCGCAACACAAGGUCUGUGUGGGGGUGUGUGGCAGGGAAACAGCUGGGCCACGAAAAAGUGCGACUUGAAAAGUCUUUCAUUUGUCGCUCCGUGUGUUUGUUGCCCUGCACUUUUCCGCAAUCGUGUUUCGCUCACGUGGGAGGAGUUUAGUUGCCAGGCGAGAGUGGGGCACGUGGACAGGAAGUUGACAACUCUGGCAUGGAUGUGCACGAGUGUGCGUGCCCCUGCAAGGCCCACCCUUGCACCGUGCAGCCUGACAUUUAUUGCGAAGGCAUUUUUUCCUACAGCGAAACCUCAAAAACACUGCGCCACAAAACGGGCUAAUAAUAAUAGUGCUCACUAUUAAGUAGAUCAGGAAUAAAAUGAAUUGAUUGUCAAAUUGGCUAUCCAGAAUGUAAUUGACACCAGGAGCAAAGAAGUAAUUGAUAUUUUACACUUGUUUUGUGAACUGCAAAGUGUGACCUUUGCCGAAUGUUGACUGUCUUUUGGAAGACGGUCAAGAAAAUAGAGCGAACAAUAGACCAGAUCGCACAUCUCACGCAUGUGUGUUUCGGUGUUUCGCUGUUUACUUGCUUUCGUCAUUUUCAAUGUCACUUGCAAUGCAAACGUUGCACUUUGCAGUCAAAAUAAUGAUAUGCGAUCCGAGCCCACAACAAUCAACAAAAACAACAACAAGAAGUAGAAGAAGAGGAGGCAACGUCACACACAAAGAGUUUUCGCACCAAUUUCGCCUUAUUUAAUUUAAAUUCCUUUGACCGGCAGGCAGGGCAGACUGCUAAUUUCAUGGAAACGUCGCCAUAGACGCUAUAGACGCCGCGACUCUCGGGCACAGUGCGUCGUGUCAGAAACAAACACAGUGGGGACACUGUCAGAUGCACUGCGCAAUGUGUAAGUCACUCCACUCGGCCGCAUGCCACAUGUCGCAUGCAGCAUGUCAACUGUCAGUGACAUGUCUAGUAUAGCAGGAUUAAAGAUAGAAUAUUAACUGAUAUGUGGGGAAAACGUGUUGCUACGUGCAUAUCUUUCACUGCUCAAUCAAUUAUCGUUCGGAUGAGUAAUGUCACACCGAUCCACCGACAAACCACUUGACGCACUUAUAUUGCACAGAUCUCUCGCAGUGCAUAAGCUACCCACCCUUUCCUUAUCACUGUGCGGAUAUAGGGGAUAUAUUCGCACAGUGAUAAGGGAAGGGGACGUGUUGUCAGUCUUCAGUUGCUAAUAAAGCAUAUGUACUAUAAUGUACUCCAAGCUAAUCUAUCAAA
Drosophila yakuba is the source of this 1960-nucleotide long non-coding RNA. RefSeq lists it as uncharacterized. The transcript has 2 exons. The record is from RefSeq and is a predicted model, not a curated record. Lineage: Eukaryota; Metazoa; Arthropoda; Insecta; Diptera; Drosophilidae.